This 136-nucleotide small RNA is filed under the name Chelonoidis abingdonii (Abingdon island giant tortoise). RNAcentral describes it as "TUC338 (ENSCABG00000021888.1)". Lineage: Eukaryota; Metazoa; Chordata; Testudines; Testudinidae. The record is from RNAcentral.
UCAAUUUCACAGGAGAAUGAAGUCCCAUUUAUUUGCAGAACUGGUAACAAGCUUUGCGUAGAUCACUGGAGGGACCUUCUCCUUUAAGAGUGAGAGGGGAGUUCAGUCUCCAUAGCCCAAUUCAGUCCUUCAUCUU